RNAcentral lists this ribosomal RNA (403 nucleotides) under uncultured bacterium. RNAcentral describes it as "partial 16S ribosomal RNA". It matches the Rfam family "Bacterial small subunit ribosomal RNA", at positions 30 to 526 of the family's 1533-position model. The record is from RNAcentral.
AUUGAACGCUGGCGGCAGGCCUAACACAUGCAAGUCGAGCGAGCGGCGGGCGGGUGAGUACUGGAUGGGGACUGCCCGAUAGAGGGGGAUAACUGCUGGAAACGGUGGCUAAUACGGCAUACUGUUGGAUAACCCAUAUGGGAUUAGCUAGUAGGUAAGGUAAUGGCUUACCUAGGCGACGAUCCCUAGCUGUGCUGAGAGGAUGAUCAGCCACACUGGGACUGAGACACGGCCCAGACUCCUACGGAGGCAGCAGUGGGGAAUAUUGCACAAUGGGCGAAAGCCUGAUGCAGCCAUGCCGAGUGUAUGAAGAAGGCCCUAGGGUUGUAAAGUAUUUUCAGUCGGGAGGCGUUACCGACAGAAGAAGCACCGGCUAACUCCGUGCCAGCAGCCGCGGUAAUUC